ACAUGCUAGCCUCAGAGAUGCUUUGCAAUGAGGGCCGCCACGAUUUUGGUCUUGUGGAAGCAGUGUUUGUGGAUGCAGUUCUUGGACGGUGUCUUUCCUGUUUCUGUGGCUGAAAUGUUUGACAGGUUAACAUGUAAGACAAUGUGGUUGAUAGUUGCCCGGUAAAAUGAAGUAAUGAAAAUAUCAUUAAUUUAUUUAACUUUUACACAGUUAAAAUUGUUGCUUUACUGGUUUAAUUCCUAAAUUUCUCUUUUACAGGUAACCAAGGUUGCAUUUUCACAGGCAGAAGGAUGGCACUGGUGUUGAAGGAAACCUCAUCUAUGGCAAGAGAAAUUUGCCAUAAGAGAAAUUUUUUUUGAGAAAAUCAUUAUCUGUUUCGUUUGGCCAAUUGAGUCGUUUGAGAAGAAGAACUAACUCCCAUAAGCAAGGAAAUCAUAUUUUAACUUGUGCAGUUAUGGAUAAUUAGAUUAAAUUUCAAUCUCCUCCCCCCCCCCCCCCCCCAAAUCCGUCAGUCUCCUCUCUCUCUCUCUCUCUCUCUCUCUCUCUCAUCUUUGUUAUGCAGAAAGUCUUGAAAGAUAUAUGUACCUGGUGGGCCUUUUCCAUGGAUGAGUUUUGUGCUGCUUGAUCACUUGAACUCUGCUCAUCUGUUGUUGACUGUUGUUUACGUACAGAUUCAGAUUGUUUCUUCAUCUUCGCGUGCUUCUUUGCGUGCAAGACCUUCAUAACCUCUGCGAACAGAAAAAGAGGAAUCAGAAUGAGUACUUGUUGGCCUCCGAGAAAAAGAUAGGUAGAUAGAGUAAACAGCCGAAGUAGAGAGGUAAGAGGUUACACAAACCUUGAGAAGUGAUAAGCCUGUAAGCAUGGCCAAGAGCGAGAGUAUCUGUCGGUCUAAGAAGCUUGACACGUGUGUACCGUAUAGUUUUCUGCUCCUGAUCCUGAGUUUCUUGCUCUGAUUGUGAAACAGGCAAAGGGAUGAUCAAGGAUACAUAAUGACCGGGAUUUGCUCUCAUGACCUCACUGACUGUAACAGGCCAGUAGAGUCUGUCAAUCCUUCCACUCGGAUGCUGUAUGACCAGAGCUGCAGCGUCUAUGGCCUGGCAAUUCCCCAUAUUCAAUAAUGGAAGAUAAGAAAGGAGAGGGAGAGGGAAACAAAAGUCUCUAUCUAUACAGAUGGGAAGGAAGAGAAUGGGAAGGCAGCAGGGUUCAAAUAAAGCACAAGGGGUCUUACUCAAACAGGCCGUCUCUCACUUCCCCAACUAACUUAUUCUACGUUGAGUCAAUUUAAU
RNAcentral lists this long non-coding RNA (1286 nucleotides) under Carica papaya (papaya). Its description in RNAcentral is "long non-coding RNA (CPAP_LNC012385)". The record is from RNAcentral. Lineage: Eukaryota; Viridiplantae; Streptophyta; Magnoliopsida; Brassicales; Caricaceae.